Molecule: long non-coding RNA, 1687 nt
Organism: Vespa crabro (European hornet)
Lineage: Eukaryota; Metazoa; Arthropoda; Insecta; Hymenoptera; Vespidae
Exons: 3
Source: RefSeq, a predicted model, not a curated record
AGGCCGCCGAUUGGUCGAUCCAGUGUCGCGAAGCACUGCAGUUGGAAGAUGCGACGCAUAUUUGUGAUCGGCUUGAGAUUCCUCACUGAAUGGCGUAGAAUCCGGUGGAACCGAAUACUUUUCGUUUCUUCUCUUCCACUUUAUUUCUUGCGCUUUUCUUCUCUCACUCGAGAUACUUUUGAUGGCCAACCUGUUCUUUUUUCUUAAUAUUUUUUAAUUAAUUUUUUUCUUUUUAUUUUUUUCUAUAUGUCCAUCUCGACAACACGAUUGUCUCAUCUCCUUAGACAUGUUUGAUUCCUGUGAUUGGUCGAAUAUAACAGAGGUCCUCAAACUUCUUCAUCGGUUUGUUGGUCGUUUCGACGAGUGUAGAAUUUUAUCGAUCGGCUACCUCGUUUAGUUUCCUUCAUCCUCUUACUGGCGAUUCUCAAAUUUUGGAAUUCACAAAAUUUCAAUCUUAAAACUGAUGAAAGAUACAUGCAAUGUUAACAAUUGCGAUUAUAAGUAUAUUUGAGAAAACCCUAGCGAACCACACUUUGAGAACCGUCGCGUUUACGACCGUUUCGAAAAUGUUAAUAGGUCGUUGACGUAACCAGAAGCAGACCUUUCUCGUGCCUUGUUCCUCGAUGCCAGACUCCAACAUUUCAUUUUUAAUUCUGAAGUCCGUAUUCUCCUCUUACCUGAGAAUCGUAUAUCAUAAACCACGAUAGAAGCUCAAACCAGGUAAGAAAGCAAAAAGGUUUUUGCUUUUAAAUGAUGUCUUUCCUUGUGUUUCUCACUCUUCGUUUCUCUCUCAUUCACUACGAAUCCAUGGACAAGGUCAAGAGUUGCAGAUUUCCAUUCCUUGACAUCCUUUAUAAUCUUCUACGAGUCACCAUAGUUGGCCUGUCUCUUUAUCCUCUCUACCUCUUUUUCUUGCAACUAUAAUUCAUUCUCUUCAAAUUCAAAUUAAGAAUAACCUAACCAUCGGAGAUUACCGUGGUGAAGACAAUUUUACAAUUGAAUCUUCCUAAACGAUGAUUUCCUAUAUAUUCAUCGACUUUAUGCUAUAUGUAUGCAAGUAGUACAUUUAUAUAUCAAUCUAAAGAUAACGCAAUGGAACGCAGAUUGAUCGUUGGACAAAUUGCCUACGAGCAGGCACUUCAGUCGAUAACUGCCGAUAGCAGGAGAAUGGAAUUGGAUCGAACUCCGCGAAUACGAAGUAAUCCUGUUCUCGACAAGAAAGGCCGUGGUACAUCGAUUCUCCUCCAACGUCGUCCCCAGAAAUCCAAUGAGUACGCCAAAAUUCCCUAGGGGCAGUCGGGUCAACAGGAAGUCAAGGCCACACGGUCAGUUGCACCGUGGUUCGCCGUCGAUAUAAAUAGAUGCAGGCGACUGGUAUCUAUGUAUCUAUCUGCACGCAUACCAUACUAUCCACAGCGAAUAAACAUGGAUAAAGUUUCGUCCAAUGAUGCCAAGAAAACAUCGUCGUAUUUUUACAACAAAGUUUCUUGGGAAAUGCAAGUGAAUCGAACUUGUGCUUAUCGAUGCAUUUUACGAUAUUUGUAUUUAUCGACUCAUCUCUCUGUAAUGUUAUAUAUUAACCUUAAAAUUACAUAUAUCGGUUUAUUCAUUACAUAUGAAAAAUAUGAUUCAUACAGAAUUAUUUGGAAAUAGACUUAUUCCACAAAUUUAUAUAUAUAUAUAUAUA